This is an unclassified non-coding RNA of Callithrix jacchus (white-tufted-ear marmoset), 300 nucleotides long. It matches the Rfam family "Metazoan signal recognition particle RNA". From Rfam's summary of the family: The signal recognition particle (SRP) is a universally conserved ribonucleoprotein. It is involved in the co-translational targeting of proteins to membranes. The record is from Ensembl. Lineage: Eukaryota; Metazoa; Chordata; Mammalia; Primates; Cebidae.
GUCAGGAGCUGUGGUACAUGCCUAUAGUCCCAGCCGCUCGUGAGGCUGAGGUGGAAGGAUCACUUGAGCCCAGGAGUUCUGGGCUGUAGUGCGCUAUGCCGAUCGGGUGUCCACACUAAGUUCGGCAUCAAUAUGGUGACCUCCCAGGAGUGUGGAACCAGUAGGUUGCCUAGAGAGGAGCAAACCGCCCCAGGUCGGAAAUGGAGCAGGUCAAAACUUUCAUGCUGAUCAGUAGUGGGAUCGCACCUGUGAAUAGCCACUGCACUCCAGCCUCGGCAACAUUGUGAGGCCCCGUCUUUU